GCCGCGUUGGCUCAAUGGUAGAGCGUCGCCCUCCUACCAGGCGAAGGCUGCGAGUUCGAGUCUCGUGCGUGGUA
RNAcentral lists this transfer RNA (74 nucleotides) under Rhizoctonia solani AG-1 IB. Its description in RNAcentral is "tRNA-Arg". It matches the Rfam family "tRNA". Rfam says of the family: Transfer RNA (tRNA) molecules are approximately 80 nucleotides in length. The record is from RNAcentral. Lineage: Eukaryota; Fungi; Basidiomycota; Agaricomycetes; Cantharellales; Ceratobasidiaceae.